Molecule: long non-coding RNA, 734 nt
Filed under: Homo sapiens (human)
Lineage: Eukaryota; Metazoa; Chordata; Mammalia; Primates; Hominidae
Description: HSALNT0328687
Source: RNAcentral
UAGUGCUCAGGGGAUAUAAAAAUAAUGCAUUGUAUGCCGGAAGGGAUAAAUCUGGGGCUGAGUACAAGCAAAACAAGACCAAAGGAAGCUACCUGAGCAGGUAUUCCAGAUACUCAUGUCAUACACCAAGGUUGUACCAGUGCCCCUUUCUCUGUGACACAUCCAUCCACUGGAAACUUUCGUACAACUAGCUGAAAGAAGAGAAACAUCCUAUUUCAUGUCACUGGAGCCCUAAUGAUCGCAGCCAUUUCAGGAAAUGCCAUCAAUUACAGUGAGGAGCUCAUUCAGAAGUGAAAGAUGAGUUCCAUUCUCUGUUACUUAGAGGGUGGAUAUCCUCCUCCACUGAAUGCAAACUAUUAAGUAAUGAAAAGACAGCACUCCAAGCAAUAUAGAUUUAUAGGCCAACCUGGCAAUCAAGGGUAACUGACAUGAAAAUGGAUUGCUUCACAUUUUAAUUACAAAGAUACUCUUCAGUACCAUAAAUUGAAGAAAACACUAACUUUUUGUGGCUACUGUAAUUGUCAAAGUAUAAUUACCUGUGUUUUCUCACCUACGUAUUUGAGAUAGAGACAAAACCAAAUUGAAGCUUUGUGGCAACUCUGUGAACAGCAAGUCUGUCAGUGCCAUUUUUCCAAUAGCAUGUGCCUACUAUGUGUCUGUGUAUGUCAUUUUGUUAAUUUCUGCAACAUUUCAAACUUUUGUAUUAUUAUUAUAUUUGUUAUGGUGAUUUGCGA